RNAcentral lists this ribosomal RNA (393 nucleotides) under uncultured bacterium. Its description in RNAcentral is "partial 16S ribosomal RNA". It matches the Rfam family "Bacterial small subunit ribosomal RNA", at positions 523 to 918 of the family's 1533-position model. The record is from RNAcentral.
AUACGGAGGAUGCAAGCGUUAUCCGGAUUUAUUGGGUUUAAAGGGUGCGUAGGCGGUUUGCUAAGCGGGAGGUGAAAUGCCGGCGCUCAACGUCGGAAGUGCCUCCCGAACUGGUGGACUUGAAUGACUCUGCCGUGGGAGGAAUGUGUAGUGUAGCGGUGAAAUGCUUAGAGAUUACACAGAACACCGAUUGCGAAGGCAUCUCACGAAGGGUUGAUUGACGCUGAGGCACGAAAGCGUUGGGAUCAAACAGGAUUAGAUACCCUGGUAGGCCACGCAGUAAACGAUGAUGGCUAACCGCUGGGCUUAUCAGUUCAGUGGCCAAGCGAAAGCGAUAAGCCAUCCACCUGGGGAGUACGACCGCAAGGUUGAAACUCAAAUGAAUUGACGGGG